GCGAUGCAGCUGAAUUGGCUCUGCUCAAGUUCAGGAGCGAUGUUGCUGGGCGAUGCCGGCCUGCAAAAGCCGAUAGGUUUUGCAUUCGGAUAGCCGGCAACUCCUCUGCACUCUUGUUCAGAGCUGGCCAACAACGGUUGCCCGUGGCUCAGAAGGACGGUUGGGAAGGUAGUCACUCUUCGGGGUGAAACUUAUAGCCAUCCGCCUGGCAGUCCGGGGGCGACCGAGGAUAACUGGCAGUGCAGGCCUUAGGCUUGGGCCGCUUCUGGCCGUUCYGGCACCGCGGUUGGGACUGCGUGCAGUGUCAUCUGACGAGUGUCUGCUCGGACGGGAGACCGGUCACACCUUGCGCUGUAGUUGUUGGUGAUCAAAUGGCUGCAUCCGA
RNAcentral lists this ribosomal RNA (385 nucleotides) under Demospongiae sp. GW3375. RNAcentral describes it as "eukaryotic LSU rRNA". The record is from RNAcentral. Lineage: Eukaryota; Metazoa; Porifera; Demospongiae.